CCUGCCCAAUAGAAGCAUUGCAAUUGUGGCUGCUGUGUCACAGGUGCGUCAGUAGGUGGCAGAGAAGACGCUUUAUCUGUCCUCAGUGUUCGCACAUAUGGACAUGUGAAUGAUUAGUAGCCUAACAUU
Molecule: small nucleolar RNA, 129 nt
Organism: Mastomys coucha (southern multimammate mouse)
Lineage: Eukaryota; Metazoa; Chordata; Mammalia; Rodentia; Muridae
Product: small nucleolar RNA SNORA17
Exons: 1
Source: RefSeq, a predicted model, not a curated record